Molecule: ribosomal RNA, 289 nt
Filed under: Escherichia coli
Lineage: Bacteria; Pseudomonadati; Pseudomonadota; Gammaproteobacteria; Enterobacterales; Enterobacteriaceae
Description: partial 23S ribosomal RNA
Rfam family: Bacterial large subunit ribosomal RNA
Source: RNAcentral
AAUGGGUCAGCGACUUAUAUUCUGUAGCAAGGUUAACCGAAUAGGGGAGCCGAAGGGAAACCGAGUCUUAACUGGGCGUUAAGUUGCAGGGUAUAGACCCGAAACCCGGUGAUCUAGCCAUGGGCAGGUUGAAGGUUGGGUAACACUAACUGGAGGACCGAACCGACUAAUGUUGAAAAAUUAGCGGAUGACUUGUGGCUGGGGGUGAAAGGCCAAUCAAACCGGGAGAUAGCUGGUUCUCCCCGAAAGCUAUUUAGGUAGCGCCUCGUGAAUUCAUCUCCGGGGGUAG